This 26-nucleotide non-coding RNA is filed under the name Rattus norvegicus (Norway rat). The record is from RNAcentral. Lineage: Eukaryota; Metazoa; Chordata; Mammalia; Rodentia; Muridae.
UCCUAUGGCUGUUGCCCUGGAAAUAC